AUUGAACGCUGGCGGCAGGCCUAACACAUGCAAGUCGAGCGGAUGAAGGGAGCUUGCUCCUGGAUUCAGCGGCGGACGGGUGAGUAAUGCCUAGGAAUCUGCCUGGUAGUGGGGGAUAACGUCCGGAAACGGGCGCUAAUACCGCAUACGUCCUAAGGGAGAAAGUGGGGAUCUUCGGACCUCACGCUAUCAGAUGAGCCUAGGUCGGAUUAGCUAGUUGGGUGGGUAAAGGCCUACCAAGGCGACGAUCCGUAACUGGUCUGAGAGGAUGAUCAGUCACACUGGAACUGAGACACGGUCCAGACUCCUACGGGAGGCAGCAGUGGGGAAUAUUGGACAAUGGGCGAAAGCCUGAUCCAGCCAUGCCGCGUGUGUGAAGAAGGUCUUCGGAUUGUAAAGCACUUUAAGUUGGGAGGAAGGGCAGUAAGUUAAUACCUUGCUGUUUUGACGUUACCAACAGAAUAAGCACCGGCUAACUUCGUG
This 483-nucleotide ribosomal RNA is filed under the name uncultured bacterium. RNAcentral describes it as "partial 16S ribosomal RNA". It matches the Rfam family "Bacterial small subunit ribosomal RNA", at positions 30 to 507 of the family's 1533-position model. The record is from RNAcentral.